AAGGUGCCGCGCACAUCAGGUGAACCCGGAAUGGCAUUGUUCCGGGUGAACGGGAAGCCGGUGCGGAAUGAUCCAUUCCCAGGCCGGCGCUGCCCCCGCAACGGUGAUCGAGUUAACCCGCAGCCCCCGUCAUUUUUGACGGAGCCACUGUGAAACAGCGCUACUGGCGUUCGUUUCGCGGGAAGGCGCUGCGGACUGGCAUUAGCCGCUCGUAAGCCCGGAGACCGGCCCGGUGUACACGCGAACG
This 247-nucleotide non-coding RNA is filed under the name Woeseia oceani. Lineage: Bacteria; Pseudomonadati; Pseudomonadota; Gammaproteobacteria; Woeseiales; Woeseiaceae. The record is from RNAcentral.